CGGAAAUGUGCCUGAGCUAAAGGGCUAUUUUGAUAGAAUAGAUCACAGGAAAACAUCUCCUCAUUUCCC
RNAcentral lists this transfer RNA (69 nucleotides) under Varanus salvadorii. Its description in RNAcentral is "tRNA-Ile". Lineage: Eukaryota; Metazoa; Chordata; Lepidosauria; Squamata; Varanidae. The record is from RNAcentral.